UACAGAGGGUGCGAGCGUUGUCCGGAAUCACUGGGCGUAAAGGGCGCGUAGGCGGCCUGGUAAGCGUGCGGUGAAAGCCCGGGGCUCAACCCCGGGUCGGCCGUGCGAACUGCGAGGCUGGAGCACUGUAGAGGCAGGUGGAAUUCCGGGUGUAGUGGUGGAAUGCGUAGAGAUCCGGAGGAACACCAGCGGCGAAGGCGGCAUCCUGGACUGGUCCUGACACUCAUGAGCGAAAGCGUGGGGAGCGAUCCGG
RNAcentral lists this ribosomal RNA (253 nucleotides) under uncultured bacterium. Its description in RNAcentral is "partial 16S ribosomal RNA". It matches the Rfam family "Bacterial small subunit ribosomal RNA", at positions 524 to 776 of the family's 1533-position model. The record is from RNAcentral.